UCUUUUUCAAAGGGUGUAUUCUUAUCUGCAGUCUCUUUGUCCCUCUUUAGCGUUUUGUGCUCUCUCUGCUUCCUGGUCACCUCGAGGCAAGCAGCUUUCCUCCCCUUCUGCCGUGAUGUUCUACCUUGGAAGACCAUGCACUGAAACUCUGAAACCGUGAACCAUAAACCUCUUCUUUGACUUGUACUUGUCAACAACAGAAAGCUGGCCAGUACAUAGUCUUUGCCACACCAUCCAUCUAUUGAGGUUAAGUAUGGGAUGGUGACAUCACAGGAGAAGGACAAGGACCAGAGGUUCUGACAGAGCCAGGAGAAGCAGGAGGAGCAGUGCCUUGUCUAUGCUGCUAGGUGGCUUUGGAUACCCCACAACUAUUUCAGAUGACUGCCUCACAGCCUCUCUGGAUGGCUCUGUGCCUCUGCAGUUUCUGCCUCUGCAGAGAAGUCCCACCCUUCAUCAUGGUGAAGCAAAAAGUCUGAAACCAACCUGCAGGACACCACACCUCCAUGAGCCCAUCUUUUUACCUACAUAAUAAGCUCUCCUCUGCUGCUUAACAUACUAGCCCAUGCGCUACAUCCCACUGUGCUGUGGUUUUGCAUAUUUGUUAUGAUUUUCAUCUCAACUAGAGCAGUCUGAGCUGUUUGCACUAAGAGCCGGUAACACUAAAGGCUGAUGGCCCCAUGUCCUACUUUCUCAUCACUGAACACAACGCUCGACAUCCACAAUUUAAAGCAGUUUAUUUUGGUUCAUUGUUUUAGUCCAUAGUCAGUUGGCUCCAGAGUAGAGACAGGAUCGUGGAAGGGUAUGGAGGAGGAAAGCUCCUGGCACCAUGGCAGCUAGCAAACAGAGAAAGAAAGAAGGAGCCAGGGAUGAGAACACGCCCUUCCAGGUCAUGGUCCUGGUCACUUACCAGGAGCACUUCCUACCAGCACAUUCAGCUAUGAUCUCAUCAGUGGACUAAUCCACUCCAAUAAUCCAUUUCCCUUCCACACACAUUAUACUUUGUGGGGGACAUUAAGAUUAAACCGUUAUACAUCAAAAGCAGCCACUAGCCAGGGCUGGUAACACUAAAGGUAACUUUAAACCAGAAUGCAAUGGAGAGCUGUUAGGAGCUGCUAGCUCUGGUUGCCAGAAAAGUUCUACUAGAAAAGCAGUGAAGAGAGCUGUUAACUAGAGAGCUGCUAACACUAGGACCUGAGUGUUGCAGACACUGAAGGGUUAGGUGUGCUAAGAGCUGAAACCCACUGGCUUGCAAAGCUCAUGAUUUCUGUGAUAACUCGGACCCCGGAAGCAAGAAAUUAAAAUUUGGGAAGCAAAGGCUUUAUUUCCAGGCCUGGUGACACAGCCUCCAGGAGCCAAUUUGGAGACUGCGUACCUCACAGCUAAAAGUCAGGUCUUUUAUCUUGUAAAUCCACAAACAGCUGCUGGUCACACAAUGUAAAGAAGGGGAUGGGGGUGUGACGCACUACAAAGCAGAAACGGCAAUUGCAAGUCUCCCUGCAUACUAGCAAGUUUAGAUAAGAAGAAAUCUUGUUUUUCUUAGCAAAGAAUAGAGAAGUCUAACAGCAAUUAACAACCUUAGUUACCUUACUUUAGCACCACAACUGUUAUUUGUAGAGGGCAACAAUGGUUAACAUAUCAAUUAGGUAAGAUUUUACAAUUCUUUACAGAGGAGAGCAUUGAUUAACAUAUCAAUCCUUUACUCAGAGGGAAAAGGAACACACAGGUAUUGCUAUGAUACAAACGAAGCUAUUGCAGUCUAAUGCAAUUAACACAAUUUGUGACAGGCUACCGGGUAGGGAAGACCCGG
This 1807-nucleotide long non-coding RNA is filed under the name Cavia porcellus (domestic guinea pig). RNAcentral's name for it is "lncRNA (ENSCPOG00000031457.1)". Lineage: Eukaryota; Metazoa; Chordata; Mammalia; Rodentia; Caviidae. The record is from RNAcentral.